Dalotia coriaria is the source of this 824-nucleotide long non-coding RNA. RefSeq lists it as uncharacterized. The transcript has 2 exons. The record is from RefSeq and is a predicted model, not a curated record. NCBI's taxonomy places the organism in Eukaryota, Metazoa, Arthropoda, Insecta, Coleoptera, Staphylinidae.
GUUGAAACCUCAUGUCAGCAGUAUAAUUUGUCAAGUCAAGCCUAUAAGUGUAUUUCCCCAAAAUGAAUGACUACAUCAAAAUUCAAGAUCUUCUGGAUUUAUCUACGGAUAAAUUCAACGAGUUGCGGGAUAGAGUUUACACGUCUCUGCUUUCUAACUCUUCCAGAAAAAUGUCCUGCAGCGUCUUGUCUGAUAAUACAUCGAGAGAUGCGGUGGGGAUUGAAUUACAGGAUGACGAUUCAGUAAUUUAUAUCCCCGCAGUAGAUGAGGAAGAAGAUGAUAACAACGACAACACGUUGGUAGAAGAUUCCGCACCAUUAGCAAGUAAGAGUGUGUUACCUCUUGAGGUUCCAACAGUGGGGAAGUCUUGUAAACGCAGUGCCUCAUCACCUAUCUCUGAAUUACUCAAAUCGGAUAAAAAGUCCGAGGACUUCAUUCGCUGCAAUAUUAACAUCACCCAAAGACGAAAAACAAGUAAAAAAUGAAGCAAUUUUGAUAUGCUCUACACCAGAAGUAACAACAAAUGCCUUGCGUGGACUCGAAGCCGAUAAAUUGCACGAUAUAUCCCCAAUUCCUAAAGAGACAAAUGUUAUAGAUUCAACUGAAGUUAAAAGCCAUAACAACGUAGAAUGUUCAUGUGCAUCAACUUGUAAACAAAUACAGAAAAUGGUUGCUGAUGUGCACCGUUUGUUGACUUCUGACGGACCAUUAGGCAAACUCAAAAAGUUAAUGAAUCUUGGAGACGCAUUCGAAAAGUAUCAACUUGAACACGCAGAACUACCCCAUCAGAUCAAUACAAACAACAUUGUGUCGACAAUAUAAAA